RNAcentral lists this ribosomal RNA (253 nucleotides) under uncultured bacterium. RNAcentral's name for it is "partial 16S ribosomal RNA". It matches the Rfam family "Bacterial small subunit ribosomal RNA", at positions 524 to 776 of the family's 1533-position model. The record is from RNAcentral.
GACAGAGGGGGCAAGCGUUGCUCGGAAUUACUGGGCGUAAAGGGCGCGUAGGCGGGAUGGCAAGUCGGUCGUGAAAUGCCUCGGCUCAACUGAGGAUCGUCGAUCGAUACUGCCGUUCUUGAGGAUUGCAGAGGAGACUGGAAUUCCCGGUGUAGCGGUGAAAUGUGUAGAGAUCAGGAGGAACACCGGUGGCGAAGGCGGGUCUCUGGGCAGUAACUGACGCUGAGGAGCGAAAGCGUGGGGAGCGAACAGG